UCGCGCUCCGGCGGGGCGGGGAAAGGCUGGAGAGCUCUUAUCCCCGCUCCGUUAUUAGCCCUGCGGGGAAAGGAGGCGGGAGGCAGCGAGAGGAGGGUUAGCAGCCCCUCCGCGUCCCAGCUGACAGCUUCCAAGCAGCCAUUUUUAAAGGCUAAUUGUCACCGCCGCUCGGAGCCGCCUCCCGCCCCUCGGCCCGCGUGGAUCCGUCCCUCGCUGGGAGGGGGGUCCGGCGGGCUGACCGCCCCCCCGAGGCUCCCGCGGCCGCCUCUGCCGCCCACGCUUCCAGAACAGGAGCCAGGGGAAGCUGGAGCGGCACCGGGAAUGCAGCCCGGACCCCCGAGACGAGCCCGCCCCGUCCCGUGCUCCUUGGCGGCCCCGUUCUCCUGGCAGAGCGGCCGGGGGCUCGGAUGUUCCCCGCUCUGCUGCCUUGGUUCCUCUGCUCGCCUCAGGUCCUGCAAAGUUCAGAGGCGGUUUGCCUUGAAGUCCUCCCCGCUGGUAGCAGGCCAUGGAUGAAGAAUUACAGGAUAAAUUACAAUUUGGCUUCAGGUCCAUUUAAAGGCGAAAGAUGCUCCAGAAAAGCAGAGACCAGACAGCACCAAGUUCUAUCAGCAGUGAUAAUGACAUCUUUGCUACUUGAAACACAUCUCUACUUUCAAAUAAAAAUCUACCAAGCCAAGGAAUAAAAUCAUGUUAUAUUUUUCUAUAUUCUUUUCUACAUUCUUUCUGCACAAAAAAAAAUUAAAUAGACAAUCUGAUAGCAUUUCCAUCUAUGACAGAACCAAUCUGCCGACAUUGAUCUUGACUCUGAGUAUGAACCUCUUAUUUUUUAAAAUACAAAGUUUUUAAAAGUCUUCCUACUGAAUAGAUGUGUAGUUUUAUGCCAUGCUGAAACCUUGAUGCAUCUUGCACUGACAUUUCCCACUGCAAAUGUCGCUUCUGCUGAGGUUUUUUUCUGCAUUCAUUCAGCUGCCUUUUAUUUUCCCUGCUAUUCCUUCUGGAGUUUUUCACAAUCCUGGUUAAUCUUGACUAAGCUAGGGCAUUUUUUCCUUGUCAGCAAAGCUCCAUCUCACA
RNAcentral lists this long non-coding RNA (1071 nucleotides) under Zonotrichia albicollis (white-throated sparrow). Its description in RNAcentral is "lncRNA (ENSZALG00000004033.1)". Lineage: Eukaryota; Metazoa; Chordata; Aves; Passeriformes; Passerellidae. The record is from RNAcentral.